CAGACUUCCUGCAUUUGAAACUCCCGGAUGGGGCCCAGCAAUCUGAUUACAGAGCCCUGCAGGUAGCUUUGAUAGUCAAGUUUGAAAAACACUGCCGUAAAGCUAUCGAUUUUUUUUUUUUUUUCCACCGAGGCUUCAGUGACAGAAGCUCUGAACCUAUCUGGGUUGUGGUUCCUGUUUGCCUGCGUUUUCCAGUGAGAGAGUGAUGUGUUAACAACAGCUGUAAUGAUUUCUCUAAUGAAGCCUCCUUGGCUCUGUUGGGUUCCCAUUAACAACGGUUGAGCGCUACUGCCCUCUCGUGGUGGAUGGACGCCAGAUUUUGCCGCUUGGCAGAUGACAAGAGCCAGAUUGCACAGGAUGACUUGGACUAGAGAUGGAAAGGGUCUGCAUGCAUGGAAAAUGGGUCAAGCAUCCAGGCCCCAGGUCUUUACUGAACCCUAAACUAGUUUCCCAGACAGUGUGUGAGUUGAGUGCUUCUCCAAUAUCUUUCAUACAACGCCCUUUAAGAGGUAUUUGCCAGAACAAAAGGAAUCUAUUCUGAAACUAAAUGGAUGUUUCCUCCUCUAGAGCCUGAAAUCUAGAAAAAGACAGCCAUAUCCUAUGCUUUUAAACAAUCUUCGUUUCUCUAGUCAUGAAAUUAAUAUGCAGAAAUGGAAUUACACUGGUGAAGCUCACAGGAAGAGGCUUUGAGGAAAGACAGAGGCCAAAAUGACUUCUGAAGUGUCUGUACACUUAAAGAGGAAGUCUCUGAAACCGAAACCAAAUAAGCAUAAGGAUAUAAGACAUCAGCAGUCUCGUAACAUUCCACCCAAACAUACUGAAUCACUCUUUUGUGCCAGCGAUGCUCCAGCCACACCAGCCCUUGUUUCAUCUGCCUGGACCGCUCCCCCCUUUCUUUCACAGAGCUCUCUCUCUCUCUCAGCUCACUCAUUAGAGAGAGAAGCCUUCUCUGACCAAGCAAUCUAAAUAAAGUAGCAGCGCCCAGGUCGCUGUCCAUCUGCUA
This is a long non-coding RNA of Felis catus (domestic cat), 1003 nucleotides long. RefSeq lists it as uncharacterized. The transcript has 5 exons. NCBI's taxonomy places the organism in Eukaryota, Metazoa, Chordata, Mammalia, Carnivora, Felidae. The record is from RefSeq and is a predicted model, not a curated record.